AUGUUUUUGUGCUUCAAACAAACAUCUCCGUUGACAGAAGGUAACCGGCCUGCUGCAACCACGCAACGCCACCUGUUUUUGGAGGGACAGAAACUCAGGCAACACGCUGCUGUUUAAGUCGUAUUUCUUUGUUCAACCAAUAACUGAGAUCGGCAGAACCAGGACCCACUUCAGAAGCUUUUCUGUGAAGUUUUCCUCCUAAAGCAACAGGCUGCAGGUAUCACGGUGUGUUGCAGGAACGUGUGCAGCUCAGUUAAGUGUUGGCCCAAACUGGAUCACCGACGGGAUCCCAAACACAGCCGCAUAUCUACAACAGAAUGACUGAAACAGAGAAGAAUAAAGAUGUCGGAAUGGCCGACAGCUGGUGCUUGGCCCAAAAAGGAUUCCUGACUGUUUCCAUUCUGGACCCCAUGCAGCCAUGUCAGGUGCUGUCUCCACCUUCCCGUUUCCUUCAGAUCUUCCAGAUCAGAGAUUUCAGAAGAAAAGGAGAAGGUGUUGUGUUGACUGGACUGCUAAAUGUUCAGCAUUUUAUUUAAAAACAUUUAGUGGGAAACAUCUUGUAAAACCCAUAUAGUGCAAUACACAAAUUUAAUAAAACCUAUUUAGGUACCCAGAAGGAACGGUCUGAUUAUGACUUAAUUUAACAAACAGACAGUACAGUGAUAGGUAUCUGCAGGGAGAGAAACAACUUUCAUAAACAAUAACAAAUUCCACUAAUUUAGUGAGUUUUCUGUUACAAAGAAAUAAGAAAAUGUCUGUUUCUGUUGUGAAUAUGUUAUGAAGAAAGAUAUCAGCCAAAGAUGAAGAAAAUACAUACAAGUUCAACUGAUCAGGUUGCAGUGCGUGGCGUAUAGUUGUAGAGCAAAGCAAUGCACAUAGAGAAGCCUCAGUCCUCAACACAGCCGUCCCGGGUUCGAGUCCCGACCCGGAGACCUGUGCUGAAGGUCUUCCCACUCUCUCCAUCCCACUUCCAGUCUGCCUGCUUUGGACAAACAACAGAAAGAAAGGCCACUAGUAACACAAACAAAAACCAACAUUUAAAGUUCAGGCACUAAGUUUGGUAUUUAUGGAUGGGAGGGAUGGGAUAAAAAUUAGAACUACCAGGUUCUGGGGAAGAGGAGAACCACAGAGAAGCUUCAUAGGUCUCAUGCAGGAUGUGGUGUGACAGAAGGAUGUUAUAAUGGAGGAGAUGAUCAGUUUAUUUAAAGUCAACUUUCAAUCAGGAACCAAUGAGGAACAAGGAGAACCAGUUAGUUAAUAUACAGAGUGAAGUGCAAUGUGAAACAAUGGGAAGGGAGGCAGGUAAUCACGUGAUUAAUGACGGGUGUGAUGACCAGCUGAGGGAAUUACGUGACUGUGGAUACUGGUGCAUGGGAACAGAGAGACAUGGGGAAAACUGGACUAAAGACACUCAAGGAAACAGAUCUAAGGAAAUGCAUAAACAUAAAUACAGUGAUCAAAAUACUAACAGGGAAGGCAGGGACAUGAGGAACAACCUAACUGUAAAAGCAAAGGUAAACAAGCACAAAAAUGUGUCUCUGGCCCUGUCUUUCAGUGUUUAACCCUUUCUCUCUCCUAGACAUGGCUACUGACUGAGCUUCUACUGUGACUAACUCUAUGUGCUCUCUUUCAGACUCUA
Molecule: long non-coding RNA, 1639 nt
Organism: Girardinichthys multiradiatus
Lineage: Eukaryota; Metazoa; Chordata; Actinopteri; Cyprinodontiformes; Goodeidae
Exons: 3
Source: RefSeq, a predicted model, not a curated record